Molecule: transfer RNA, 72 nt
Filed under: Chelonia mydas (Green sea turtle)
Lineage: Eukaryota; Metazoa; Chordata; Testudines; Cheloniidae
Rfam family: tRNA
About the family: Transfer RNA (tRNA) molecules are approximately 80 nucleotides in length.
Source: Rfam by way of RNAcentral
GGCAGUGUGGCCUAGUAGGCAGAGCACUAGACUGGGAUUCAGGACACCUGGGUUCUCUUCCUGGCACUGCUG